Saccostrea cuccullata (small rock oyster) is the source of this 218-nucleotide long non-coding RNA. RefSeq lists it as uncharacterized. Lineage: Eukaryota; Metazoa; Mollusca; Bivalvia; Ostreida; Ostreidae. The transcript has 3 exons. The record is from RefSeq and is a predicted model, not a curated record.
CAACAAAGUGUCAAGGAAUCCUCUACCCCACCAAGGACAUUUGCGGCCCCACCACUUGAGUCGACACCCAGUAAAACAGAAAUGGAUGAUCUACAGAAAGAAAGAAUUAUAAUUAGAUUUAGAGAAUGUGAACAUUGACAACGUAGACAUUUCAGACAUAAAUUUGGAUGAAGAAUUACUAGAAGAUUGAAAUACAGAACAAUGGACCUUUGUAUCUU